Molecule: ribosomal RNA, 1358 nt
Filed under: Candidatus Phytoplasma fraxini
Lineage: Bacteria; Bacillati; Mycoplasmatota; Mollicutes; Acholeplasmatales; Acholeplasmataceae
Description: bacterial SSU rRNA
Rfam family: Bacterial small subunit ribosomal RNA
Source: RNAcentral
UUAGUUUGUUGGUGGGGUAAUGGCCUACCAAGACGAUGAUGUGUAGCUGGACUGAGAGGUCGAACAGCCACAUUGGGACUGAGACACGGCCCAAACUCCUACGGGAGGCAGCAGUAGGGAAUUUUCGGCAAUGGAGGAAACUCUGACCGAGCAACGCCGCGUGAACGAUGAAGUAUUUCGGUAUGUAAAGUUCUUUUAUUGAAGAAGAAAAAAUAGUGGAAAAACUAUCUUGACGUUAUUCAAUGAAUAAGCCCCGGCUAACUAUGUGCCAGCAGCCGCGGUAAGACAUAGGGGGCGAGCGUUAUCCGGAAUUAUUGGGCGUAAAGGGUGCGUAGGCGGUUAGGAAAGUCUAUAAUUUAAUUUCAGUGCUUAACGCUGUCUUGUUAUAGAAACUACCUUGACUAGAGUUAGAUAGAGGCAAGCGGAAUUCCAUGUGUAGCGGUAAAAUGUGUAAAUAUAUGGAGGAACACCAGAAGCGUAGGCGGCUUGCUGGGUCUUGACUGACGCUGAGGCACGAAAGCGUGGGUAGCAAACAGGAUUAGAUACCCUGGUAGUCCACGCCGUAAACGAUGAGUACUAAGUGUCGGGAUAAAACUCGGUACUGAAGUUAACACAUUAAGUACUCCGCCUGAGUAGUACGUACGCAAGUAUGAAACUUAAAGGAAUUGACGGGACUCCGCACAAGCGGUGGAUCAUGUUGUUUAAUUCGAAGAUACACGAAAAAUCUUACCAGGUCUUGACAUGCUCUGCAAAGCUAUAGAAAUAUAGUGGAGGUUAUCAGGGACACAGGUGGUGCAUGGUUGUCGUCAGUUCGUGUCGUGAGAUGUUAGGUUAAGUCCUAAAACGAGCGCAACCCUUGUCGUUAGUUACCAGCACGUAAUGGUGGGCACUUUAACGAGACUGCCAAUUAAACAUUGGAGGAAGGUGAGGAUUACGUCAAAUCAUCAUGCCCCUUAUGAUCUGGGCUACAAACGUGAUACAAUGGCUGUUACAAAGAGUAGCUGAAGCGCGAGUUUUUAGCCAAUCUCAAAAAAGCAGUCUCAGUUCGGAUUGAAGUCUGUAACUCGACUUCAUGAAGUUGGAAUCGCUAGUAAUCGCGAAUCAGCAUGUCGCGGUGAAUACGUUCUCGGGGUUUGUACACACCACCCGUCAAACCACGAAAGUUAGCAAUACCCGAAAGCAGCGGCUUAACUUCGCAAGAAGAGGGAACUGUCUAAGGUAGGGUCGAUGAUUGGGGUUAAGAAAACCCAGAGCUUCUUGUCUCUCCGUGUUUGCUGAUUUCUACCUUCCUCAUUACAGAGACCCGGUAGACCACCCCUCUGUGUCCUCACGAUGCCCUUGGUCAACUUCCUGUGAAC